GCCGGUUUAGCUUAGUGGCAGAGCGUUGCACUUGUACGUCCCGAUUCUGGGCUAUUUCAAUGCAAAGGUCGGUUGUUCAAUCCAGCCAACCGGCA
Paramarasmius palmivorus is the source of this 95-nucleotide non-coding RNA. Lineage: Eukaryota; Fungi; Basidiomycota; Agaricomycetes; Agaricales; Marasmiaceae. The record is from the annotation of a GenBank genome assembly.